UAGGGAAUCUUCCACAAUGGACGCAAGUCUGAUGGAGCAACGCCGCGUGAGUGAAGAAGGUUUUCGGAUCGUAAAGCUCUGUUGUUGGUGAAGAAGGAUAGAGGUAGUAACUGGCCUUUAUUUGACGGUAAUCAACCAGAAAGUCACGGCUAACUACGUGCCAGCAGCCGCGGUAAUACGUAGGUGGCAAGCGUUGUCCGGAUUUAUUGGGCGUAAAGCGAGCGCAGGCGGAAGAAUAAGUCUGAUGUGAAAGCCCUCGGCUUAACCGAGGAACUGCUUCGGAAACUGUUUUUCUUGAGUGCAGAAGAGGAGAGUGGAAUUCCAUGUGUAGCGGUGGAAUGCGUAGAUAUAUGGAAGAACGCCAGUGGCGAAGGCGACUCUCUGGUCUGCAACUGACGCUGAGGCUCGAAAGCAUGGGUAGCGAACAGG
RNAcentral lists this ribosomal RNA (429 nucleotides) under bacterium. RNAcentral's name for it is "partial 16S ribosomal RNA". It matches the Rfam family "Bacterial small subunit ribosomal RNA", at positions 355 to 776 of the family's 1533-position model. The record is from RNAcentral.